RNAcentral lists this transfer RNA (72 nucleotides) under Bifidobacterium adolescentis. Its description in RNAcentral is "tRNA-Trp". It matches the Rfam family "tRNA". Rfam says of the family: Transfer RNA (tRNA) molecules are approximately 80 nucleotides in length. Their secondary structure includes four short double-helical elements and three loops (D, anti-codon, and T loops). Lineage: Bacteria; Bacillati; Actinomycetota; Actinomycetes; Bifidobacteriales; Bifidobacteriaceae. The record is from RNAcentral.
AUGGCAUUGGUGCAACCGGUAGCAUUACGGUCUCCAAAACCGUCGAUGUUGGUUCGAGUCCAACAUGCCGUG